AAAUUUUCCAGCCGCGACUCUGCUGGAGAAAAGAGAGACCAUUCUAACCUUUAGUUUUAGGGUUUUGUGUGUAUCUUUGUGUGUUUUCUUUCAUUUAUCCUUGUUUUUAUUUAUUUAUUUACUUUUUCCAUUUUCAUUUUUAUUCUUCCUGUUUUAUCUUUAUUUUGUAUAUAUGCCUGCAUGUCAUUAGUUGGGAUUGUUAUAUAUGAGAAGAUAAAUCCCAAGCUUGGAGGAGAAAUAUAAGUUAAGAAGUAGAACUAAUGCUAAC
RNAcentral lists this long non-coding RNA (268 nucleotides) under Lathyrus oleraceus (garden pea). RNAcentral describes it as "Pisum sativum (pea) long non-coding RNA (PSAT_LNC017766)". Lineage: Eukaryota; Viridiplantae; Streptophyta; Magnoliopsida; Fabales; Fabaceae. The record is from RNAcentral.